This is an RNA transcript of Dromaius novaehollandiae (emu), 823 nucleotides long. It is a transcript of the gene named small nuclear ribonucleoprotein U11/U12 subunit 25, with no coding region annotated. The transcript is spliced from 6 exons. Lineage: Eukaryota; Metazoa; Chordata; Aves; Casuariiformes; Dromaiidae. The record is from RefSeq and is a predicted model, not a curated record.
UUCCGGCGCCGCGAUGGCGAUGGCGGCGGCGGAGCCCGAGGAGGAGCUGGCGCACGCCGAGGUGCUGGAGCUCUUCCAGGCGGCGCUGGCGCGGCUGGUGCAGGACCCGCUGCUCUGCGACCUCCCGGCGCAGGUGACGCCGGAGGAGAUCGGCUCGCAGGUGGCGCUCGAGUACGGGCAGGCCAUGACCGUGCGCGUCUGCAAGGCGGACGGCGAAACCAUGCCCGUGGUGGUGGUGCAGAACGCCUCGGUGCUGGAGCUGAAGAAGGCGCUGCGGCGGCACGUGCAGCUGCGGCAGGCGCGGCAGGGCGGCGUCCAGCACCUCAGCUGGAAGUACAUAUGGAGGACCUACCACUUAACCUACGCUGGAGAAAAGCUGGCAGACGACAGAAAGAAGCUGAGAGAGUGAGUAGGUAUGGCAUUAGAAACCGUGAUGAGGUCAGCUUCAUAAAGAAGCUUCGAAAGUAACUUGUCAGUUUCUCCACUUUCUGGUUGAUGGAGACUUGAAUUCAGCUGACUCAUUGUUCUGAGAAGCCAGGACUUACUGCUAGACAACUUUUGUUCAUGGUAUUUUUGUGCAACUGAUGCAUUUAAGAAUGCUUCCAGCACAGGAAGCACUAUUUGUGUAUAUUUACCUGUGUGUAACCCAUGUGGACAUCAUCAUUGCAAUAGCAGACUGUCAUUUAAAAAAAGUUAUGUACACAUAUAAAUGUAUGGUGUGGCCAAGAUUCUCAAGCUUGAUAAGUUUAAAAUUGUGCCAGCUUCUCUAUCCCCCCACCUAAAAACACAUCUAAAACUCUGAAAAGCAGUGGUAAUAUCAGCU